Molecule: small RNA, 233 nt
Filed under: Phascolarctos cinereus (koala)
Lineage: Eukaryota; Metazoa; Chordata; Mammalia; Diprotodontia; Phascolarctidae
Description: Six3os1 conserved region 2 (ENSPCIG00000006905.2)
Source: RNAcentral
GUGGGCUUGAAAAAAAGAGGGAGGCUGGGAAGGAGGUGGGGGAGGGACACCUCCAAGGCACUGCGCCCUGAGAAGUGAAGGAAAACAUAUGUGUAACCUCAGCCCCCAGCUCUCAGCUGACUAACAGGUUAGUUAGACGGGUGAGCCGGCAUUCCGCAGGAAAGGGGGGAGGGGGAAGGAGACAGACAGACAGAGAGAGAGGGGGAGAGAGACAAGGAGAGGGAGGGAGAGAG